UUGGAACACUCGAAACCACUCCAGCCACCAACACCCCAAAUCUCACUCUUCUCAGAGACUCUCUUUAAUAAUGGUGCUUUACAUUCUCCUUUGUGAGCUGCAAGGUAUGCAAAUUAACUUGGAACACGGGGACUUGAUACAUGUCCACAGAGUCUACUGAAACUGCAGGGAGGCUGCAAAGCAAGUACUGACCAAUGCAAGCGUUCCAGCAAAGCCUACCUCCAGAAAGUUGGAAAGCACCACAGAUGACAGAAGAGAACUGCCUGUAGUAACAGUGGUGAACCAGAACUACAGAGUGGGUUCUUGUUCAGAAAACUCUGCGUGUUUCAGAUCAGAAUUUUAACUGCCCUCUUAUUUGCUGCCAGUGUUUCCAUCUCAUCCUAUGUGCACACCCUUGCCAUCAACAGUAAGUACCGCGUGAUCAAAAUGAUGCCUAUAGAAAUAAGACCAAAAUCUCACCAUCUCAGCAGCAAGUGCUGGAUCAUAAGCCUGAAAUUGUGUGUGAUGAUCUGACGAGUGCUGCACUGAGGGCUUUUAUUCUGGAGGUGAUUUUGAUUUUUAUGUACUUAAAUAAAAUUCUAUAGCCUGGUAAAUUAUUCCUUUCUCUAUGGAAUGAAAAGGUAAGUCCCCCCAACAUAGUGCCUUCCUACAUGCAAACAGAUAGGCACCCACCUACAAUUCCUCAAUAAUCCCCAUUUUAGGAAAGCAAAUUGCAAAGCAUUCUGAACACAUAUAUGGGCAAUUUAACAGAAUCUUGUAUUUUAGAGGAUAUCCGAACCUCUGUUUUUCAGUAUGUGAUUACAAAAAUCAAAUGGAAUGAAGAGUUUCAAUGGUAUAACAUCAGAGAGGCACAACAGCUCUGACAGUGUUGUCAAGUUGUAUGCUGUUAAAUGGACUUGUGCAGCUGCAGGUCCAGCCUAUGCCUUUGAUGAGGCUAGCAUGCCACGCAGGCAUUCACAAAAACACUUCUACUCAUCUGAAUGGAACAAAAGCUUCUACUAUACUGUAUUGGAAAAGUAAGGAUUCUGCAAAGUUAGAUAGUUGUCUGUCUUGUGAAAAGGAAGGAAACUGAGCACUUGAGGUCUAAGCUUUUCUUUAAAAGCAAGUGAUUUCUGAAGAUAACAUUAUCUUCUUAUUAAAAUCUUCUAAGUAUUUAAAUGAUGAGCUCUAACACAAUUAAUACUAUCGCAUCGAUUUCUGAUCUUGUCCUUUCUAACUCCAAAGAACAUCUUAAACUCAAGAAAGUAAACAUCACCAGUGCAGUACUGAUCAAUUUUUCUGGUGAAAGGAACUAUGGAUAAAAAUAAACUACCACUGUGUUGCAUUUAAGUAGACAAAGAGGAAACUGUCAAUUUUAGUAGCCACCUAAGCGUCAGGUUAGAUGCAUAGUCUCUCUGCAGGG
Long non-coding RNA from Gallus gallus (chicken), 1402 nucleotides. RefSeq lists it as uncharacterized. The transcript is spliced from 3 exons. NCBI's taxonomy places the organism in Eukaryota, Metazoa, Chordata, Aves, Galliformes, Phasianidae. The record is from RefSeq and is a predicted model, not a curated record.